This 492-nucleotide ribosomal RNA is filed under the name Triticum aestivum (bread wheat). RNAcentral describes it as "partial small subunit ribosomal RNA". Lineage: Eukaryota; Viridiplantae; Streptophyta; Magnoliopsida; Poales; Poaceae. The record is from RNAcentral.
AUGGCGUGGGAGAGCGCGGUGCAGACACUCGACGAAGGCGGCAAGGCGUUCACCAAGGGGGCAGAGAUUCUACGGCAGUUCGCCUCCGUCACGGAGGCGGAAGUUGCGGCGGGGAAGCCGGUGCCCGCGAGGGAGUUCGACGCCGUGGCCGCGCUCGCCGAGGAGACCGCCCUCCGGCUGCUCGACAGGGCGGCCAAGGAGGCGGAGGCCGGCGAGCAGACCGCCGCGGCGUUCGUGCGUAGGCCGGGGGCCAAGAAACUGGCGGAGGCGCGCCGCAGGCACGCCGCGUCCGCCGCCGGGCUGAGGACGCAGGCCGCGGAGUUCGCCGCUUUCAGGCGCCGGAUGGCCUCGCUGCCGGUCGUGGAGGAGCUGGAGAGCUCGGAGUUGGGGCCGCGUGGAGGCUCGACGGCGGGAGUAGAAGGAACCGAACGCAAGGAAGCAAGAACAAGGAAGCCCAACGCCAGAUACCUCGAGGACGAGUGGAGCUCCUGA